CCUACGGGUGGCAGCAGUAGGGAAUCUUCCACAAUGGGCGAAAGCCUGAUGGAGCAACGCCGCGUGGGUGAAGAAGGUCCUCGGAUCGGAAAACCCUGUUGUUAGAGAAGUAAGGUCGAGAGAGUAACUGUUCACGUUUCGACGGUAUCUAACCAGAAAGCCACGGCUAACUACGUGCCAGCAGCCGCGGUAAUACGUAGGUGGCAAGCGUUAUCCGGAUUUAUUGGGCGUAAGGGGAACGCAGGUGGUCUUUUAAGUCUGAUGUGAAAGCCUUCGGCUUAACCGGAGUAGUGCAUUGGAAACUGGGAGACUUGAGUACAGAAGAGGAGAGUGGAACUCGAUGUGUAGCGGUGAAAUGCUUAGAUAUAUGGAAGAACACCAGUGGCGAAAGCGGCUCUCUGGUCUGUAACUGACACUGAGGUUCGAAAGCGUGGGUAGCAAACAGGAUUAGAUACCCGAGUAGUC
RNAcentral lists this ribosomal RNA (465 nucleotides) under uncultured bacterium. RNAcentral describes it as "partial 16S ribosomal RNA". It matches the Rfam family "Bacterial small subunit ribosomal RNA", at positions 338 to 795 of the family's 1533-position model. The record is from RNAcentral.